UUGAAGUAUAAAUGUUGCAUAACUUAAUAUCUGAAUGUCUUCCAGACACUCAGUGAUGUACUUGAGAAAGAAAAAUAUGUUAAAAGAAAGGUGGAAAAAACAAAGCAUAAGUUGCAAAGAAAGGGAAGGAAAAGUCGUGGUUUGCUAAUAAAAACUGAGAGUAAACGCUCAAUAAUUUUUGAAGAAUUGGAGUCUACUAAAAUUAAAACAGUAACUUAUAAUGCAAAAAUAAAUGAAAUGAAUCAGCAAUUAGAAGGAAAGGAAGAGGAAAAGGUAGCUUUUGAUCAGAAACUUGAAAAUUUGACAGAUGUAUUUAUAACUAUGAGAUAUAAAAAAGAACAUGCACAAGCUGUGUUUGAUCAUCUCGUGGAAGAGAAAAGAGCCUGUGAAGAGAGAAUCUUUCAAGAAGAUCAGGAAUUUCGAACACUUCUUGCUAAGAGGCGAAAAGCCCUGGCAGAUAUCAAAGAAUUGCUAGACAACUUGUUGGAGGAAAAUCUACGUUUAGCUCAAGAGUACCAGAAGAUGCAGACUAUUUUCUUAAUAGAAAAGGAUAAUUUCUUCAAUGCAUAUGCUAAACAGCUAUCACUUGAUGCUUCAGUUAGAGAUCAGAAACAGCUCUGUCAGCUGCAAAGAAGUCUACACAAGCAGUGGCAGGAGCACUUCCGACUGGUGGUCCUCUUCAGCCAGAUGAAGCUGGCCAGGUUCCAGACAGACUCUCAGGAGACUAUUCAGAAAAUAUUAGCUGUGCAGUUUUUUGAAUUUAAAAGAAGUGGUUAUAUGAGGAGC
This 786-nucleotide long non-coding RNA is filed under the name Fukomys damarensis (Damara mole-rat). RNAcentral's name for it is "lncRNA (ENSFDAG00000024257.1)". The record is from RNAcentral. Lineage: Eukaryota; Metazoa; Chordata; Mammalia; Rodentia; Bathyergidae.